RNAcentral lists this ribosomal RNA (540 nucleotides) under Cryptosporidium sp. GC-2015. Its description in RNAcentral is "SSU rRNA". It matches the Rfam family "Eukaryotic small subunit ribosomal RNA", at positions 333 to 901 of the family's 1831-position model. The record is from RNAcentral. Lineage: Eukaryota; Apicomplexa; Conoidasida; Eucoccidiorida; Cryptosporidiidae.
GUAUUGGCCUACCGUGGCAAUGACGGGUAACGGGGAAUUAGGGUUCGAUUCCGGAGAGGGAGCCUGAGAAACGGCUACCACAUCUAAGGAAGGCAGCAGGCGCGCAAAUUACCCAAUCCUAAUACAGGGAGGUAGUGACAAGAAAUAACAAUACAGGACUUUUUGGUUUUGUAAUUGGAAUGAGUUAAGUAUAAACCCCUUUACAAGUAUCAAUUGGAGGGCAAGUCUGGUGCCAGCAGCCGCGGUAAUUCCAGCUCCAAUAGCGUAUAUUAAAGUUGUUGCAGUUAAAAAGCUCGUAGCUGGAUUUCUGUUAAUAAUUUAUAUAAAAUAUUUUGAUGAAUAUUUAUAUAAUAUUAACAUAAUUCAUAUUACUAUAUAUUUUAGUAUAUGAAAUUUUACUUUGAGAAAAUUAGAGUGCUUAAAGCAGGCAUAUGCCUUGAAUACUCCAGCAUGGAAUAAUAUUAAAGAUUUUUAUCUUUCUUAUUGGUUCUAAGAUAAGAAUAAUGGUUAAUAGGGACAGUUGGGGGCAUUUGUAUUUAA